RNAcentral lists this ribosomal RNA (465 nucleotides) under Vreelandella stevensii. RNAcentral describes it as "partial 16S ribosomal RNA". It matches the Rfam family "Bacterial small subunit ribosomal RNA", at positions 338 to 795 of the family's 1533-position model. The record is from RNAcentral. Lineage: Bacteria; Pseudomonadati; Pseudomonadota; Gammaproteobacteria; Oceanospirillales; Halomonadaceae.
CCUACGGGCGGCAGCAGUGGGGAAUAUUGGACAAUGGGGGGAACCCUGAUCCAGCCAUGCCGCGUGUGUGAAGAAGGCCCUCGGGUUGUAAAGCACUUUCAGUGAGGAAGAACGCCUGGUGGUUAAUACCCAUCAGGAAAGACAUUACUCACAGAAGAAGCACCGGCUAACUCCGUGCCAGCAGCCGCGGUAAUACGGAGGGUGCGAGCGUUAAUCGGAAUUACUGGGCGUAAAGCGCGCGUAGGUGGCUUGAUAAGCCGGUUGUGAAAGCCCCGGGCUCAACCUGGGAACGGCAUCCGGAACUGUCAAGCUAGAGUGCAGGAGAGGAAGGUAGAAUUCCCGGUGUAGCGGUGAAAUGCGUAGAGAUCGGGAGGAAUACCAGUGGCGAAGGCGGCCUUCUGGACUGACACUGACACUGAGGUGCGAAAGCGUGGGUAGCAAACAGGAUUAGAUACCCUAGUAGUC